ACUGUUUUUUGUGAUGACUUUUUGAAACGUUUUGGUGAAUCGUCUUUCAUCGGAGGGAUAUAAAUCUCCGAGAUUUCAUGAAAAUAUUUCAGUUUUUCUUUCGUGUGGCUUUUGGAACCCCGUUAUUUUGUGACUCCAGCUACAUUCAAUUUGCCCAAUCAGACGCGAUCAGAUGAAGAUGCUGCACGCAGAAGUUACUGAUAUCAAUAUCAGUGACAUUGUGAAUGAACUCUGCUCACUGUAAAUGGUGUUGUUGGGCUUCUUCUAUGUCAAGCU
Megalobrama amblycephala (Wuchang bream) is the source of this 276-nucleotide long non-coding RNA. RefSeq lists it as uncharacterized. Lineage: Eukaryota; Metazoa; Chordata; Actinopteri; Cypriniformes; Xenocyprididae. The transcript has 3 exons. The record is from RefSeq and is a predicted model, not a curated record.